Molecule: ribosomal RNA, 253 nt
Filed under: uncultured bacterium
Lineage: Bacteria
Description: partial 16S ribosomal RNA
Rfam family: Bacterial small subunit ribosomal RNA
Source: RNAcentral
UACAGGGGGGGCAAGCGUUAUUCGGAAUUAUUGGGCGUAAAGGGCGCGUAGGCGGCCUGGCAAGUGGAAGGUGAAAUCCCUCGGCUUAACCGAGGAACUGCCCUCCAAACUGCUUGGCUUGAGUCCGGGAGAGGUGAGUGGAAUUCCCAGUGUAGCGGUGAAAUGCGUAGAUAUUGGGAGGAACACCAGUGGCGAAGGCGGCUCACUGGACCGGAACUGACGCUGAGGCGCGAAAGCGUGGGGAGCAAACGGG